GUUGCUGAAGGUGAGAGGAGGAAGGCCAGAUGGCACAGAUGGACUGGGAGGGGAUCAGGAGCCGGCAGUCAAUGAGCAAUUAAGGCUGAUUGGCAUUUCAGUCAGGAGGCUGUCUAAUGGGAAUGGUGGCGGGGAGGGGAGGGGUGCAGGGAGGGGAGGAGGUGUGGCAGGCAGAGGUGGGGAGUGGCUUGGUGAUAUGGGAGCACACGAAGUAGGAUGCUGUCCCUGACUUCUAUCCCAGUUCUGGAAGCUUCCAAGGGUGAGUGAGGUGAUGUUUAUGAGUGCCAGGCAGGGCUGACCUCCUCUUACCUGGCUCUUCUCCAGUUUCCGGAUGGCGGUGUUGGCACGGCGCUGUAGCAUCUUCAGUGUGGUCUGCUGCUCCUGCCGCUGCCACUGAGCUCACCUGCGUGGCCACAUCAAAGCGCAGCCGCUCCGGGUUGAGAUGGGAGCCCCGCUGUUCGGUGGUUGGUCCGAGCGUCUGCCGAAGUGCCCAGUUCAGCAGAGCUGCACUCGGUCCCCGACUUGUAAGCACUCGGGAGCCAUGGCCUCAUGCAGGAUGAAGCCUCCACAGACCUGAGCCCGGGCCACAGGGAACAACACAUCCUGAGGAGAAGAGAGUCAAAGUGCCAGAUGACUGAUUGUGGUCAUCCUUCGACUUGUGGCCUCACAUCCACCUCCCAUGGAAGUCAUCCUCGGGGUGUCUGACACUCACCUGCUGCCCUGUACGAAUGAGGUAGCCUCGGUCCGAAGCCUGACCCCCUUGUUCAGCAUAGAAGUUGGUUCUGUCCAAUAGGAGGCCACAGCGCUGGCCUUCUCCCACGGAGGCCACAGCUGUCCCAGUCUCUGAAUACAGCUGUAAUACCUGGGCCUCACAGAGGCCAAACUCUGCCCAGAGGCAGAAGGAUACCAGUGUUAGGGUCUGGGAAUGUGAUGGGUCUGGGAUUUGAGGAAAAGGCAUCUGGCUUCAGAGGGUGAAGAAGGGUUUUCCGGAUGAAGGAGGUAGUGACCCCUGCUGGCUACUUAGGGCAAUGCAAGAGGCUGGUGGCUACCAUUUCUCUCCUUCCCAGUCAAGGUCAGGUAAGCUUGUGCCUACCAGUCUGGGUCUAGGUUCUCACCAUAAUCCCCAUUGGGGCGAAGAGAGUAGUUAUAUUUGGGGCUGUCAUCAGUUGUGGGUAUGCCUUGACGGUGCAGCUCCUCCAGUGCGUGGACAUCAAGACACAAUCCCUCCUCCUGAGCUGCCUCUGCCUGCUGGGCCCGGUGCUGCAGCAGGACAAUAGUGUGUGUGUAUGAGUGUGUGUGUGUGUGUGUGUGUGUGUGUGAGUGUGUGUGUGUGUGUUGAUGGUGAGGGGGCAUCAGAUGUAUGGAGAACUCCACAGGAUGGGGAUUGAGCCUUUGAGAGCCCUGUCUCUGUGGACCCGGCAUAAGAAUAAGACCUAAGGGUGUUUGCUGGCUUCUAGAGAGCUAUCUUAUGUGUCUACUAAACUAGACAGGACAGAUGCCUCAGGGUCAGGUCUCUUUGCUCACAACCACCUGAGGACUCCCUCCCCUCAGCUUCUGUUUGGUCACUGGGGCUGAUGUUUCUCUCCGUAGACUGAGCAGGGCUGUGGUUCUGUCCCCUCAGCGAUAAGGGCAGAGGGAGGAAUGGCUGGGUCACUGCCCGGUCCGUGGACUGUACCUGGGCUUCCUUCUGGGCUAGCUGCUCCAGGCCCGCAGUGUCCAGCUUCACCCCCUUCUCCUCCAACAUUAGCUGCACCAGGUCCAGGGGGAUCCCCAGAUUCCCAGACAGUGACAGUGACCAGGCCACUUCGGCUGAGGAGAGAGAGCAGAAGUUUUGAGGAUGAGAGCAGCAGAUCAAAGGGAGGAGAAGGAAGAGAGCUGGCUCAGGCUUUUUCGGCCACACAGACCCCCUCCAGUGUGCGAGGAGCCAUCUUGAAACUUUGAAACUUGGGUUCCAAGGCUCCCAACUCACCAGGGAACAAAUCAGAAGGGCCCAAGCGCUUAACGGUGCGAUCAAUGAUCCGACGGCCUCUCUGCAGGGAGGCCAGGAAGGCUGCCUCAUCCUCUGACACCAGCCCUGCCACUCCCGCAGCACCAGACUCACGGGGCGCCUGACAUCCCCGGGGAGACGCCAUCAGCAAUGCAGACACUGAGCGUGCGGAUGUGAUCAGCUACAACUCGGUACGCUGUGUCUAUUCGUCCCUCAUCCGCUGCCCCUACGCGGCCAGAGUACGGGGGAACCCUGCAGCUCUGUAAAGCAGGAGAGCGGCCAUAGCUGUUGGGUCUGCCUGACCCGGCCCAGGCUCAGGACACCAGACUCAGGACACCGAGGGCUAACAGAAUAGUGGGUGCAGUCAGGUAGAAGUGCCUUCAUCACGUCCCGACAUUCUCCGAGAAGCAUUCUCCUUCUCUGGGAUGAAGGCCCAUGCUGUGGACUACUUAUCAACAACAUGGCACAAAGACCUUCUAAGACCUCUUAAGAAAGGACCACCACUCGGCCUUGGUGUUGGGGCCUGAACUCUCUUCAGAAUCCUGCCAUGCUUCUGUCUGUAAAGUUAAUAAAUCUUCUAAUAAUUUUUUUACCCUAAUAGAGGAUCUGCCUCAGUGUCUGCUUGAGCUCCAAGCCCAGAACCUUUCUUAAGGAUAGACACAUGCACAUUUUGAAUGGAUGAGGGGAAGAAUGAGGGGUAACAUCAGGUCGCAGUACACUUGAUACCCUAGGAUCCUUGGUCUGUACUGUCCCCACAUGUUGGGAAUGCUCUUGAGUUCUCAACAACACCAGAGGGUGGAGGAACUGGGGAGAUGGUUCAGCUGGUACAGUGUUUACCUCACCAGCACGAGGACCCGACUUUGACCUCUACAACCCAUGUACAAUUGCUGGCCCAGUGGCAUAUGAUUCUAAUGCCAAUGCUACACACACACACACACACGCACGUGCACACAUGCACACCGGAAAGCUAAAAAAUAAUGGGGCUGGGGUUGGGGAUUUAGCUCAGUGGUAGAGCGCUUGCCUAGGAAGCACAAGGCCCUGGGUUCGAUCCCCAGCUCCGAAAAAAAGAACCAAAAAAAAAAAAAAAAAAAAUGGGGCUGAGGCAGAGGGGGUGCUCACCUGGUGUAUAGCAUCAAGCAGUGGAGAAAAGAGGUCGGUGUCGUAGGUGGAAUGCUUGCCCUGCAGUACAGCCACCAGUCUUUCCAGGCCCAUUCCUGUGUCCACAUGUUGCUGUGGCAGCAGAUGCAGGCUUCCGUCUGCCUCUCUGGCCAGGAAAAGUGUGCAAGGUGAGGCCAACUGGGUCUGGCAGGUCUGAGGCAGGUGGUCAACUUCAGCAGAAACCUGACAACCCAGGGGCUGAGAGAGGCAGGUACCCCCGCUCCCCUGCUCAAAUGUAGAUGAUGAAGACCUUGGGUCCUCUCUUUUCUCAAAAAGGAGAAAGGCCUUGCUUGGGCCCUUGUCUGCACCUAGACAUGCCCACUAAGAUAGAUUCUUUGUCUUUAGAGAGAUCUGUAAGAUACGUUAGAAGAAAAUCAUAGCAAUCACCAAGCUCAACUCCAUGAUGUGACAGGAGGCCAGAGAACAUCAGUAAUGAGUGAAGGAUGUCACAGUCAAGGAGGAGAAUUAGAUCAGUUUCUCUUUUUGACUAGCAACUAGUGGUAGUGACGGCCACCAUUACCUGUAGUGUUGCAUGAAGACCAGAUUCCAUAGCUCAACCAGCUGGGGGGGUCCCAUUCCACCAGCCAGAUCGUAAUGGAUCUCGGUACAAGGCCCACAAGGUCCGGUGUCUCCCAUCUCCCAGAAGUUCUCUUGCAGUCCGAACGAGAGCACACGGCUGGCAGGUACCCUGGGGAGAAAGUCAUGUAAGUGGUGGGAGACUGGCAUGGUCAGAGGCUGGGAUAGCCUCUCACCCAAGUCCAGGUUAGGAAGAGGGUCCUAGGGCUGAGCAUAGCAUGCUGGGACAUGCCAAAGUCAUGAGGGCUUGUACAGAUAGGUCUGUUUUCUACUCUUCCUAUUGCCAGGGGACAGAAGAAGGGGCCUGACUUACCCCAAGCUGAGCCAGAUGUCUCUGGUCUCCAGGUCUGGGUCCAACCCUGUCUUGGAGUCACCACUGAAAUAGGAGACCCAUAACCUGUCCUCAGGGAUCCCAUAGACUUGAGUCAGCAGUUCCCAGGCCAUGCUACAUGCUUCUUUCUGCAGGGAAACCCACCAUGGGGGUGGAGAGAUGAGACGAUCUGGCCACCCAAGUUCAUGAGAAUAAGACAAAACCAUUCCCACUACCCACCCUAGCUUCAAUGUCAGACCAUGUCCACUUCUGCCUUGAGGCUUUUCUUACCCAGAAAGUGUGCCCAUCGUUACAGACCUACCUUCUUUCCAGACCCAGAUGAAUUCUAUCUUCUCCAUAAACCUCUCCACCCAGCCACCCUGACCUGGGGACUUUAGGUCCAGUGACUCCAGUGGCGAUCUCAGCACAGCUGUCUGGCUAUCUGUUCAGCUAACUUUUAAAUGGCCAUUAGGCAGGAGACAGUCCCUUCCCUCAGUCAGGGAAGUGAGGCAUAUUCCUUCACAUUGGACGUUGUGUGUGUGUGUGUGUGCGCGCAUGUGCAUGUGUGUGUGCACUCCUGUAACAUGUGGGCAUUCACCUGUGAAAGUUAAAGGACAGCUGUGGGUGUCUGUACUUAGGAACUAAUUUUUGUUUGAAACAGGGUCUCUCAUUAGCUUGGAACCUUGUCUGUAGGCUAGACGAGCUUGUCUGUGAACUUCCAAGGAUCCUCCAGAAUCACAGACACAGACUUUCGGGCUGCACUUUAAAUGCAAGUUCUGGGAACCACAAGCACUUUACCAACCAAGUCAUCUUUCUCCCCUAUAACACAGCCUAGCACCUGGCCACAAUGUCCAGUAUUCGGGGUUCAAAGGCUUUAAGUCUAGAGUUCCCCGGAAACUCACCUUAAAAUAUUCACCCCCAAAAGCCCAGUUGCCAAGCAUCUCAAAAAAAGUAUGAUGAGAGAGAUCACGGCCCACAUCUUCCAGGUCGUUAUGGCGUCCUCCAGCCCUGACACAUUUCUGGCUGUUAGCUACUCGUCGGAAGCCUGCCAUCUCGCUUCGUGGAUCCACCGUGCCCAGGAAGAUGGGCUUGAACUGGAAGCACAAAAGUAAGGAAGGGGGAUUAAACUGGGGAGUGGAUGCAGAUGGCUGUUGAAACUCAACACUAUUUGUGACUCCAAGGGUACAAUGUGGUCUUGGAUAUGGGAACCCCAAGGAGCUCAGGCAGCCGUUUCUAGUGUAUGUGAAGCAAAGAAGAGGAAAAUGAACCUAAACCAGACACUUCUUCCUAGUAAAAAGUAGUAAAAUUUACCUAGCAGGAGUGCAAUAAAUGUCUAUUUAAUAAAUGAAUUCUAUUUAUUUAAAUAGUUUUCCACUCGAAGCCCGUCCCUCAGGGCCUCACACCUGUUAUCCGAGGAUAAUAAACUUAAUUUCUCCCAACAAGUUUCCAAGCUAAUUCCCCAAACCUAACCAGGCUCCCAACCACUUUACCCAGUCCCUCUUCCACUCUGAGUUCCGCCCCUCACUUUUUUGGUCCAAUCUUGAAAGCACUUUUCUCAGGCUGACCCCUCGAGCUCCGCCCCCGAUCGGUGUGGCCCCGCCCCGACCUGGUUCAUGCCUGCGUUGACGAAAAGCAGGCUGGGGUCGCCGCGCGGCCUCACGGAAGCGGAGGGCACGAGCCGGUGGCCGUGGCGAUCUCGGAAGAAGCUCAGGAAGGCGUCCCGCACGGCCGCUCCGUGGGGUGGGUGGGGCUCGGUUGAGAACCGCUGCCAUGGGCACGACCUCCCAAUGGCUCGCCGCAGCCUCCCGGCCGCAGCAGCCACUGACGCCGCCAUUUUAGCUCCGGGCAACGGCUUCGCGGGGUCAAAGAGUGACGUGCGAAAGGACGCCUAGGUUUCCUACAGCGGCCCCUGGCGGGUGGAAGACUUAGGGGGCAAGUCUCAGCUUCUGGUGGAAGUGGUCGCGCAAGAAGGGGACUACCCCUGGCUAGCGGUUCAGCAUACGACUUUGCACACAGUAGACCCUUAGUUCAUCCAGGAUUAAACCGAUAAUCAUAAAAAAA
Non-coding RNA from Rattus norvegicus (Norway rat), 6092 nucleotides. NCBI's taxonomy places the organism in Eukaryota, Metazoa, Chordata, Mammalia, Rodentia, Muridae. The record is from RefSeq and is a predicted model, not a curated record.